This 468-nucleotide ribosomal RNA is filed under the name uncultured bacterium. RNAcentral describes it as "partial 16S ribosomal RNA". It matches the Rfam family "Bacterial small subunit ribosomal RNA", at positions 28 to 507 of the family's 1533-position model. The record is from RNAcentral.
GACGAACGCUGGCGGCGUGCUUAGCACAUGCAAGUCGAACGGAAAGGCCCUGCUUUUGUGGGGUGCUCGAGUGGCGAACGGGUGAGUAACACGUGAGUAACCUGCCCUUGACUUUGGGAUAACUUCAGGAAACUGGGGCUAAUACCGGAUAGGAGCUCCUGCUGCAUGGUGGGGGUUGGAAAGUUUCGGCGGUUGGGGAUGGACUCGCGGCUUAUCAGCUUGUUGGUGGGGUAGUGGCUUACCAAGGCUUUGACGGGUAGCCGGCCUGGGAGGGUGACCGGCCACAUUGGGACUGAGAUACGGCCCAGACUCCUACGUGAGGCAGCAGUGGGGAAUAUUGCACAAUGGGCCGAAGCCUGAUGCAGCAACGCCGCGUGCGGGAUGACGGCCUUCGGGUUGUAAACCGCUUUCGCCUGUGACGAAGCGUGAGUGACGGUAAUGGGUAAAGAAGCACCGGCUAACUACGUG